AUCAGCCACCCCACCCCCAGCUCCCUCUAAGCCAAAAUAUGAUCUCAAGUAUGGCAGCGAGUGCUUGAUCCCUGCAGGAAGAGCGAGUUGGUGAAAAUCCUGCCUGGCUGGAUCAAGGUUAAGAGAAAGAACAAUGCCAUGGCGAGGUACUCAGAGCUGAGGGAGGAAGAUUGCUGCAGCCAGUGAGCUAAGCGGAAAGAAUAUCCUGGGCUUCCUUGGGAUCCGAUGUGGACUUGGUCCAGCUGCAGAUGAGGAAAUCCAAGCUCAGAAUGGAUAAUUCACCUAAGGAAAUACAGAUGGAAAAUGGCAGAGCUGCAAUCUAAACCCAGGUCCAUCUGAUAAUAAAGCCCAGGCUCUCCUCAACCAACUUCAGAUCUAGGAUGCUUCCAGUGAGACUCCGUGCUCCCUCCCUGUGUGGUUCCCAUGGCCUUUCUUUACCUCAAGAAAAUGCAGAGUGAAAAGCAAUGGUAGCAGAAGUUUCUAGAAGUUACUUAUAUGGCAAGUGCAAGUAUUUCAGAACACAUUUGAGAUUCAGGAAGGAGGCAAAAAGGCUUCUGCUGAGCAGUCAAAAUGACGAAGUUUGUAAACUUCACUUUAUUUGGGUCCCUGCUGAAAGUCUACCUACUCUUUAAAAACAAUAACAACAACAAAAAAUGGGAACACACUAUUAACGCUGUUCUGCACAUGUAUUUUUCAAUUAACAAUUGGUGAGUAUUCCCUUUUAGCGCACAUAGAUCUACCUCAUUCAUUUAAGGGCUCUGUAGUGCUGCAUUGUGUGAAUGCACCAAAUGUGUAUUUAUCCUGCAUUCUCUAGGUGGACAUUUUAGACACUUACAAGGGUUGGGGCUCAGAAAGUGAUAUCCCAAAGGCUGAUGUUUUGACAUGCUGAGGGCCCUCAGAAGCCGCCCCCGAACCAAGGUCCCUCUAACUUCUUGUUCCCCAUACCUGCCCCACCACCAAACACAGGGAGGGACUGUCUGUCUUUGGAAAUUUCCUCAUCUGACCAAGAAAGCAUCUUUCCAAAAGAAAUGCAAUUGUCUUAAACACCCUCCCUAGAGGUCUCAUCAAAUAACCAAGAAAGAUAAACCACCAGAAGAGAUGAGACUGGGAAUCAUCACCACACCCAGACAGACUUCAUCUAUUCUUCUGAGAGCAGCUCCAAGAGAUUGCCUGGAGGACUUUAUCUGCUUAAUAAGACAAGCUUUGUUCCUGUACAGCUCCGCCCCUCACCUUCCUGUAAUAUCUGCCUCCCACCUCCCCAGUCCAUACAUCUCCUCCCUCCUGUAUGAAAAAGGGUAUACAAGCUUCUGUGCCCCAUUGGGUUAUUGGGAAAUCAUUCUCCUGUGAUUCCCCUGUGCCAUGCACACUAAAAUAAAAUUUUGUAUGCCUUUUCUCCUAUCGAUCUGCCUUUGG
RNAcentral lists this long non-coding RNA (1413 nucleotides) under Homo sapiens (human). Its description in RNAcentral is "HSALNT0128992". Lineage: Eukaryota; Metazoa; Chordata; Mammalia; Primates; Hominidae. The record is from RNAcentral.